AACGAACGCUGGCGGCAUGCCUAACACAUGCAAGUCGAACGAGACCUUCGGGUCUAGUGGCGCACGGGUGCGUAACGCGUGGGAACCUGCCCUUAGGUUCGGAAUAACUCCCCGAAAGGGGUGCUAAUACCGGAUAAUGUCUUCGGACCAAAGAUUUAUCGCCUUUGGAUGGGCCCGCGUUGGAUUAGCUAGUUGGUAGGGUAAAAGCGUACCAAGGCGACGAUCCAUAGCUGGUCUGAGAGGAUGAUCAGCCACACUGGGACUGAGACACGGCCCAGACUCCUACGGGAGGCAGCAGUGGGGAAUAUUGGACAAUGGGCGAAAGCCUGAUCCAGCAAUGCCGCGUGAGUGAUGAAGGCCUUAGGGUUGUAAAGCUCUUUUAUCCGGGAUGAUAAUGACAGUACCGGGAGAAUAAGCUCCGGCUAACUCCGUG
RNAcentral lists this ribosomal RNA (433 nucleotides) under uncultured bacterium. RNAcentral describes it as "partial 16S ribosomal RNA". It matches the Rfam family "Bacterial small subunit ribosomal RNA", at positions 29 to 507 of the family's 1533-position model. The record is from RNAcentral.